GUAAGUCCGAUAUCACAUUAUGUUGUCAGUGUUAACCUGCCAGAUUGCAAUCCACUUUCUCCUUUUCCAGGUAAUUGCUGUGCGAGAAGCCUGGAACAUUGUGCUAUGCAAUGUGUAUUACAUGGGUGGAGCUUUAGGCUCUUUCCUUUGCAUUGUUCAUGACUGAUGGGGCUUUAGCCUCUGUGAAUUAUUCUUAGGGCCUUGUCUUGCAUUUAGUAUGUUUGAUGCCAAAUCAAAGUUUUAAAGCUACAUUCCUAGGUAGGGAGAUCUCUCAUUUGUCCAUUCCAUAUUAUCUUCUAUCAAAUGUACUUUUCUUUGAACUGAAAUCAUAAUUUAAAACAUUCCUCCCUCUAAUUAU
This is a long non-coding RNA of Nanorana parkeri, 358 nucleotides long. RefSeq lists it as uncharacterized. The transcript has 3 exons. The record is from RefSeq and is a predicted model, not a curated record. NCBI's taxonomy places the organism in Eukaryota, Metazoa, Chordata, Amphibia, Anura, Dicroglossidae.